Molecule: non-coding RNA, 73 nt
Organism: Veillonella sp. oral taxon 780
Lineage: Bacteria; Bacillati; Bacillota; Negativicutes; Veillonellales; Veillonellaceae
Source: Rfam
GACCCACUAGCUCAGUUGGCAGAGCACCUGACUUUUAAUCAGGGUGUCCCGCGUUCGAGUCGCGGGUGGGUCA